AAGUCGUAACAAGGUUUCCGUAGGUGAACCUGCGGAAGGAUCAUUAACACGUAUCCAACGUUAAACAACCCUGUGAACUUUCAACCCCGCCGGAAUGAGAUUAAUUUCCAACUUCCGGCGAAGACAAGUGACCUGGCACCUGACCUCAUCAAAGCUCUGACAGCGUGCCGCUUUAUGGAAGGGUGACGCAGUAAAACGAUCGCUGGAGGCCCACACGGCCGGCGACCGGGUCAGCGGCAUUCUUUAAUGCCCCUUAAAACCACUUAACAUGACGACAGUUCCUCUUUAUGAGUUGAGCUAUAACAAAAAACUAAUACAACUGUUAACAACGGAUAUCUUGGUUCUC
RNAcentral lists this unclassified non-coding RNA (346 nucleotides) under fungal sp. RNAcentral's name for it is "partial internal transcribed spacer region". The stretch from base 1 to 46 matches the Rfam family "Eukaryotic small subunit ribosomal RNA", at positions 1786 to 1831 of the family's 1831-position model. The record is from RNAcentral. Lineage: Eukaryota; Fungi.